Molecule: long non-coding RNA, 1414 nt
Organism: Amphimedon queenslandica
Lineage: Eukaryota; Metazoa; Porifera; Demospongiae; Haplosclerida; Niphatidae
Exons: 12
Source: RefSeq, a predicted model, not a curated record
AAUGAGCCUGAGCAGGUCAAUAAUGAAUUAAUGAGUCAACACGAGUUGCAUCAAUCAGCAUUGUUUAAAGGCAAUAGAUCUCAUUUAAAGAAACUGGUAAUGAAGUACGGUAUUGACUACAAAGAUGAAGGUGGGCAUACUGCUCUCAUGUAUUCUGUCUUGGGCAAUCAAACAAAAAUUUGUGAGUCACUGAUCAAUAUGGGUGCUGAUGUUAAUGCUACUGACAAUGCUAAUCUUACAGCAUUGUUUUGGGCUGUCUAUCAUGCUAGGCCUGAAAUCAUUAAGAUUCUACUACGGAAUGGAGCUGAUGUUCACAUAACUGACCCUCAUGGAAGGUCAGUUUCUCACUGGGUAAUGAAAACACCGAACGCCUUAUGUUUAAAGGUCCUUUGUAAACAUGUAAUUGGAAAUAUUGAAAACAAACUGACAUGGAAGGUUUAACUCCUUUGCAUUGGGCUGUAAUGUGUGAACAGCAUCAACACAUCAGCACACUCCUCUCAUGUGUUCCAACUACUAAUGUUUGUGCACAAGAUCGUAAAGGUCGAACACCACUAAACUAUGCUGUACUUCUCUUUUCUCCAAUUUGUAUCAAAGCCAUCCUUGAGUCCAGACCAAUAGCUGCUACUUUUGCAGAUUUCAAGGGAAGAACAACUUUACACUAUGCAUGUGCUGAAGGCUCUGUUGACUGUGUAAGAGCAUUACUUGCUUGCAAAAGCUGUGAUCUUCAUUGUCAAGAUAAUUCAGGGACUACUCCUCUCCAUUGGGCAGCUGCAGCAAACCAGCCUGGUAUUAUCCAGUUACUACUGAGACAAGGAGCUGAUCGUGGACAAAGGGAUGCUAGUGAUAUGACUCCUCUUGAUCAUGCUAAUCAAAGGAAUCACACUGAAUGUAUUAAACUCUUAGAAAGUUACGGCUGGCUGAGACAGUCAUCAUCAUGGUCCAUUGCAUCACAAUUUUCUAUUCAUCCUCCAACUCCUCCUGAGCUGGAUGAACAUGGACAUGUUCCAAUGAAGCGGCCAUCAUCAUCUACUGACCAGCAGUUACCACAAGAUAUUGGUCAAAUGAAUCCUGCUGAUCACUGCAGGUAUCCUGCUGAUGGUCAUUCUAAUAGCACACAAGAGGAACAUCACUACUAGAUUCUACCUACUGAAGACACACAGUGGCAAUCAGCAAGUGGGGAGGAAACUGCAUUGACUGCUGUCAGUGGGCCUAAUUUUACUGCAUCUUGUUUUAACUGGAAGCAAAAGCUGAAGAAGAUGUUUUCUAUUUUUUCAAGGCACAAUGUCCGUGUGGCCCCUGCAUGAGGAUGAAGUGCCCUACAGUAUUUGCACUUUACAAAUGAUCAAAUUAUAGCUACUUUGUACCAUUAUAAUUUUUUUCAACAUGAUUAUACUAUCUACCAUAUACAAUGAAA